Molecule: non-coding RNA, 1528 nt
Organism: Sturnus vulgaris (Common starling)
Lineage: Eukaryota; Metazoa; Chordata; Aves; Passeriformes; Sturnidae
Source: RefSeq, a predicted model, not a curated record
GAGGGUGGGACAAGCAAUUCAGUUCGUGCUCUGUGCUGGCUUCAGCGCAAAACCGAUAAUCCCAACGAUGCCAUGCGUAUAUAAUCCCGCAAUCGGUGACUGUCACAGUAGCCACUUGCUUGUUUUCCCCCAUCUUGGUUUUCUGGUAGUGUGCACUCGGUCUGACUUCAGAGCCACAGGGCACCAAACCCUGGCCAGGAGGUCCCAUGGCUCUUGGUGCUGGGCUAGAGAAGGGCAGGGAGAACAGAUUAGAGUUUCACGAAGGGCAGCUUCUAACAUGCUGUCAUUCAGUGCUGGAUGUCAGCCAGUUCUCCAUCAGUCUGCAUGUAAAAUCUUGUUUGUCCUGGCAUUGAACUGCUUUUUCUUACUGCAGAAAAACUACUCUGGAUCUACCAGAAUGAAAGUGCUGAGUACUCAGCUUGAAACGGAGAGUGGAAGAUACUGUUAGCCUGCAUUUUUCACCCAUGGAAGAGGAUGAAGUUCCAUCAAAGCAGAACAACCCCCUUCUUGGUCUGUAGCGUUAUCCCAAAACGUUCACCAACUUCUGAUAUUGCAGGAGAAACAACAGACUCAUGUUUGGAGUAGGGAGAAUGGCAGUUCAGAAAGUGCCAUGGUAACAUGUCCAUGGAUCCAGGGCACCUGUUUUGGUGUUUGCUGUAACUUGUUCCAGAAAGCAGGGAUCACACUGGGACUGAGACUCUUGCAUGGAUGAUGGUGAUUUCCACCUCUGAACCUGUGCCAGCAUGGAGCAGAGUUCAAUUCCUAAAAGACAGCCAGCAUGCCCAUGCCCCAAAGUCAAGGACAUGACCUGUAGGCACAGCCAGAGACUGUCUUCAGCAAAGGAAGAACCAUAAGUCUGGAGACACAGAAGCACACUUCAGCAGAAGAAAUUGCACCCUUUUCACACCUGAAGUUUGAAACAUCUGUGUGGGGGCAUGAACAGCUGUGGAAGUAGGGGUUUUCCAGGUCUGUCUCCUAACAAGGCAUUUGGAAUCACUGAGUUGAGGUAGAUUGCAGCCCUGUUGAUCUUUAGGCUCUCAUCAAUUGCAGUCCAGGUAGCAAACUGCUACAGAACUUUGUUUCCACUAGCCUGAGGGCACUUUGAGGGGCAGCUAAGUUUUGGAUGACAACUCCUAAGUUUAUUUUGAUACUCUGAAGGAGAAAAAUAAAAGCAGAAUGGGUGGUAGCAAUAUUAUUCAUGGGAGAAUUUGGUUCCUAGGCUGUGCUCUCCCUAUAGGCCCUGAAAUGGGCAGCAUUGGGAGACAGGGAGCAUGAGAGACUUCUGCUGCAUCAAGAGGGGACAUCAGCUGUUUGUUGCUUUCUUACUCUUUCUUGUUCAUGUAAAUGAGCAAUGACUACUGUAAAUGAUGAUGAGAGCUGGAGACCGCCUUCUGCCUCUUCAGUGGCAUUUUCUUAGAAAAAAAAAUUAUAUGAAACAAAAUUCAAAACAGAUCAUGCUAAAAUGCUGUCGACAACUUGCUAAAUGUUCAUUCAGGAAAUUCCUGUGAGCUUUCCUGUCAUUUGAUAG